This is a ribosomal RNA of Labrus bergylta (ballan wrasse), 112 nucleotides long. The record is from Ensembl. Lineage: Eukaryota; Metazoa; Chordata; Actinopteri; Labriformes; Labridae.
GCUUACGGCCAUACCACCCUGAACACGCCCGAUCUCGUCAGAAGCUAAGCAGGGUCGGGCCUGGUUAGUACUUGGAUGGGAGACCGCCUGGGAAUACCAGGUGCUGUAAGCU